RNAcentral lists this long non-coding RNA (537 nucleotides) under Apteryx owenii (little spotted kiwi). Its description in RNAcentral is "lncRNA (ENSAOWG00000011197.1)". The record is from RNAcentral. Lineage: Eukaryota; Metazoa; Chordata; Aves; Apterygiformes; Apterygidae.
AAAAGCAAAGGAAUAGAGUUAUUUGAUCAGAACACAUUUGCACAGCUUGGCAUGGGGGAGUGUGAGAUAUUGCUGUCAGAAAUGAUUAUUCUCCAGCUUUGUCAUGGGGAUGAGCUAUUGUUUACCUGCUGGCCCCACACCAGGAUGGCGCCUCCUCCCCGCUCCCAAAGGAAGCCCGUGGAUGCGGUGGCAGCAAAGGCCGGGCUGCCGGCUUGCUCCCCGUCGUCUCCGUCACCCUCGGCAGUACCGCAGGUCCUCACACCUUUUGCACCGGAAGAAGGUGACAGCAGGGAGGUGGGAGCUGCGCCAGGCCCGGGGGGACCGCCUGCGCCCGCCUGGGCACCGGCCCCGUCGCGGCACCCUCCCCGCUGCCCGGCGGCCGGCCAUGGUGCUGGGCUGCGGUUAAGCGCUCGCUGCCCUCCGUUUCAGGGCGCACAUUUAUUUCAGGCUCUUACAGAUUUCCAUUUGUAUCCUUCCUUUUUCAUUGCCCCCCUCUUGGGGCCGAGAACAACAACAAAAGGCAUCAUAACAAUAAAG